GCACAUCAGAGGAGUAUACAAAUAGAGGACUGGUAGAGUCUACCGAGGAGGAGGUACCAGUAUUCGUAUUAGAAGUCAUGAUUAAUGCACCAGUUUGAAAAGAAAAACAGUUUCGACAAGCAAAAUAUCACGAAACCAGAUAUUCACACACGAAGCCAAAUAAUCACACACAAAGUAUACAAUACGCAAGAGAGGUACAGAGUUACCCUCCUUCUUCGCGAUCGGAGAAGAUCGGCUUUCAGUCAAUUAGAGAAAACCCUAGGUACAAAACCCUAGGUGCAACCGGUGCAAACCUUACUGGAAAUAUAGUCAGGGAUGUCGAAAAGUCACCCUAAACAUCCACUGAGUGAGAAUCGAGCCACCGGAUAGCAGUAAAACUCUAGGUUAAACCACCAGAAACCCUAGAAGCCGAUAGGUCACCCAAAAAUCACCCAAAAUCAUCAGAAAAUCUCCCAGAACGUUCAAGUGAAGAAAAUACACUCAGAUAUCACGAUGAAAAACUCAGAAAGGCGUCCGAUUUAUACCGACAUCAUCACCGACCAUAAGGUCUCAGAAACACCCCCAAAAAUCUUGAAACAGACUUCAUCCAAGACAAUGAGAUACAGAUAAACAUAGUCGGAUUGUCGUCUAGGCUUUGAUACCAUGUAAACAUUGAGAUUAGACCGAAAAAUCAUUGAGAAUGUAGAGAGAGAAACUAGAGAGAAGGAGGAGCGUUUGAGAACU
This 723-nucleotide long non-coding RNA is filed under the name Nicotiana benthamiana. RNAcentral describes it as "long non-coding RNA (NBEN_LNC025563)". The record is from RNAcentral. Lineage: Eukaryota; Viridiplantae; Streptophyta; Magnoliopsida; Solanales; Solanaceae.